RNAcentral lists this long non-coding RNA (462 nucleotides) under Chloebia gouldiae (Gouldian finch). RNAcentral's name for it is "Erythrura gouldiae (Gouldian finch) lncRNA (ENSEGOG00005004421.1)". Lineage: Eukaryota; Metazoa; Chordata; Aves; Passeriformes; Passeridae. The record is from RNAcentral.
UAAAUACCAAUGGGGUGCUAGAUGUCAUCCACAAAUCACAGCCUAGGGAGGACCUCAUCUGUGAAUCCUCUAUUGUGCUUUCAUAAAAGGUUGGUUAAUGAACAGUAACAGAGAAGGUUUUCUUCUGGACACAGAGCAUCAAGAGGACUGUAGUGGAUGGCUGCUGGAAAAUUUCUGAGAGAGCUGCUCUAAGUGUACAGUUACGAGUGAUCUCUUCACCUCCAUGCAAAAGGCUGGAUUAGCAGGAUUCUACAAGGCCACAGACAUAGAGGCAGAGAAAGAGAGUUGGCAUCUUCAAGACAGAGACACCUUUUUGUUCAUCUGUUGUGGAUGCAGGCGAACCCAGUGGGAAGAAGUGACGAUGUCUGACUCAGUUCAGAAGGCUGAAUAAUUUCUUUAUUAUAAUUAUGGUAAAAUACAUUAAUAUACGAUAUAAAAGUAGGAUACUAAAAACUACAUACU